RNAcentral lists this ribosomal RNA (468 nucleotides) under uncultured bacterium. RNAcentral's name for it is "partial 16S ribosomal RNA". It matches the Rfam family "Bacterial small subunit ribosomal RNA", at positions 28 to 507 of the family's 1533-position model. The record is from RNAcentral.
GACGAACGCUGGCGGCGUGCUUAACACAUGCAAGUCGAACGGAAAGGCCCUGCUUUUGUGGGGUGCUCGAGUGGCGAACGGGUGAGUAACACGUGAGUAACCUGCCCUUGACUUUGGGAUAACUUCAGGAAACUGGGGCUAAUACCGGAUAGGAGCUCCUGCUGCAUGGUGGGGGUUGGAAAGUUUCGGCGGUUCGGGAUGGACUCGCGGCUUAUCAGCUUGUUGGUGGGGUAGUGACUUACCAAGGUUUUGACGGGUAGCCUGCCUGAGAGGGUGACCGGCCACACUGGGACUAAGAUACGGCCCAGACUCCAACGGGCGGCAGCGGUGGAAAAUAUUGCGCAAUGGGCGGAAGCCUGAUGCAGCGACGCCCCGUGCGGGAUGACGGCCUUCUGGUUGUAAACCGCUUUCGCCUGUGACGAAGCGUGAGUGACGGUAAUGGGUAAAGAAGCACCGGCUAACUACGUG